This 497-nucleotide ribosomal RNA is filed under the name uncultured bacterium. RNAcentral describes it as "partial 16S ribosomal RNA". It matches the Rfam family "Bacterial small subunit ribosomal RNA", at positions 28 to 507 of the family's 1533-position model. The record is from RNAcentral.
GAUGAACGCUGGCGGCGUGCCUAAUACAUGCAAGACGAGCGAACAGAUGAGGAGCUUGCUCCUCUGACGUUAGCGGCGGACGGGUGAGUAACACGUGGAUAACCUACCUAUAAGACUGGGAUAACUUCGGGAAACCGGAGCUAAUACCGGAUAAUAUAUUGAACCGCAUGGUUCAAUAGUAAAAGACGGUUUUGCUGUCACUUAUAGAUGGAUCCGCGCCGCAUUAGCUAGUUGGUAAGGUAACGGCUUACCAAGGCAACGAUGCGUAGCCGACCUGAGAGGGUGAUCGGCCACACUGGAACUGAGACACGGUCCAGACUCCUACGGGAGGCAGCAGUAGGGAAUCUUCCGCAAAGGGCGAAAGCCUGACGGAGCAACGCCGCGUGAGUGAUGAAGGUCUUCGGAUCGUAAAACUCUGUUAUUAGGGAAGAACAAAUGUGUAAGUAACUAUGCACGUCUUGACGGUACCUAAUCAGAAAGCCACGGCUAACUACGUG